GGAGCACUGGACGGCAAUCUAACCGAUCGUCGUUGACCCAGCAAUCAAAGUGGCAAGGUCAAUGGACAGUUUUGUGGUGGACAAACUAACUCGAUGGCAGCUGACAGACCUUAUUGAUAUUUUUAAAGACAGUUUGGGAGUUUCUCCAAGAUGGAGUGUACGGAAUGGAAGGAGAUGAGUCUAAACCUGUUAAGUUUUUACGUGCAGCAAUACUUGCUUGUAAAUAGACAGUGGAUGUGUUUGUUUGUUUUGUUCUGCUGAGAGUUGACAUCGACCUUGUUAAAUCACAGAUCUGGUUUUAAGUUUCAAUUGUGAUAUGUAUAUAUGUAUGUAUAUAUUUGCUUCAUGCUCAGAGUCAUUUAUUUUUGUUUCAAAUGGAUAUUUGAAGAAUCUUUUCUGAUAUUAUAUUAUAAUAAAUGUUCUACCACUCUUUAAAAUUGUUUGUCUUUUAAUGUAACUGUU
This is a long non-coding RNA of Melanotaenia boesemani (Boeseman's rainbowfish), 462 nucleotides long. RefSeq lists it as uncharacterized. The record is from RefSeq and is a predicted model, not a curated record. The transcript is spliced from 3 exons. Lineage: Eukaryota; Metazoa; Chordata; Actinopteri; Atheriniformes; Melanotaeniidae.